This 2163-nucleotide long non-coding RNA is filed under the name Olea europaea subsp. europaea. The record is from RNAcentral. Lineage: Eukaryota; Viridiplantae; Streptophyta; Magnoliopsida; Lamiales; Oleaceae.
AAAUGUCUUGGGUUUUUUAUGGUUGCCUUCGUCCUAAAUAGAAAAGAUAACUGGAUGUGGAUGAGUUUGAUGAAUGUUAAAUGUGACUUUAUGUUCAUCAGGUCAUUUGGUUUUUUUGAAUUUGAGGCACUCGCUGCUGCAACUUUGUCCAGUCUAGUAAACAUGAGUGUGGUGGGUUUUGACUUUGGGAAUGAGAGCUGUGUGGUUGCUGUUGCAAGGCAAAGAGGUAUUGACGUCGUUCUUAAUGAUGAGUCCAAGCGUGAGACUCCUGCUGUCGUAUGCUUUGGUGACAAACAGAGAUUCCUUGGAACAGCAGGAGCUGCAUCGAGCAUGAUGAAUCCCAAAAAUACAAUAUCCCAAAUAAAGAGGUUGAUUGGACGCCAGUAUUCAGAUCCUGAGCUGCAGCAGGAUCUCAAAGCCUUACCCUUUUCUGUGACCGAAGGGCCUGAUGGAUAUCCUUUGAUUCAUGCACGUUAUUUGGGAGAAAUGAGGACUUUUACACCUACCCAGGUCUUGGGAAUGGUUCUUUCCGAUUUGAAGAGUAUUGCUGAAAAGAAUUUGAAAGCAGCGGUUGUAGAUUGCUGCAUUGGUAUACCCGUUUAUUUCACAGACCUUCAGAGGAGAGCUGUCAUAGAUGCUGCAACAAUAGCUGGAUUGCACCCUCUCAGACUUAUUCAUGAGACUACUGCUACGGCUUUAGCUUAUGGUAUUUACAAGACUGACUUACCUGAGAAUGACCCGUUACAUGUUGCUUUUGUUGAUGUUGGGCAUGGAAGUAUGCAAGUUUGUAUUGCUGCUCUAAAGAAAGGUCAGCUGAAAAUAUUGGCCCAUUCUUUUGACAGGUCCCUUGGUGGAAGGGAUUUUGAUGAAGUUCUUUUCCAACACUUUGCUGCAAAGUUCCAGGAGGAAUACAAGAUUGAUGUCUUCCAGAAUGCCAGGGCUUGCCUCAGGCUUCGUGCAGCUUGUGAGAAGUUGAAAAAGGUUCUCAGUGCAAAUCCCGAGGCACCUUUGAACAUUGAGUGCUUGAUGGAUGAGAAGGAUGUCAGAGGUCAUAUUAAGAGAGAGGAAUUUGAGCAAAUUAGUGUUCCAAUAUUGGAGCGUGUUAAGAAACCAUUGGAGAAAGCUCUUGCAGAAGCUGGACUUACUGUUGAGAAUAUUCAUACAGUUGAAGUUGUUGGUUCAGGCUCUCGAGUUCCUGCUAUUAUGAAGAUAUUGACCGAGUUUUUUGGGAAGGAGCCCAGGCGUACAAUGAAUGCCAGUGAAAGUGUUGCCAAAGGAUGUGCUUUAGAAUGUGCUAUUCUUAGUCCCACAUUUAAAGUUCGUGAGUUCCAGGUAAUGGUUCUUAUAAUUGAUAAGCUCUCUCUCUCUCUCUCACACUUAGUUACACAAACACACAAAGAAGGCACAUGGAAGCUGACGUAUGGUUAUUAAAGAAAAAAACAUAAAAGAUCAAAGGGUGAGAAUUUUCUAUGAUGGUUAACAGCUAUGGAUUUCUAUAAAUCCAUUUAAAAUGUGAAUCUGUCCAAACUGUGCUGUUUUGUGAUAGAGAUGGAGAUAGUGGUUUGGAGUAGCAGUUCUAGAAAAGUUGCCUCACUGCUGCCUCAUGUUGCACGUAUUCUUUCUAUGUUUAAUAUCUUCGAACAGGCUACCUGGGAAGAUAUCUAACAGUGUGCAUUAUAGAGAUUUAUUAGGGGACUGAUGCAUCUCUAUUACUAAUUCUUCUUGCAAGAUACUAGAUUAAAUUUAUUUUAGGACAUUUUGUGCCUAACCAUCUUUCUGUCCAAAUUUAGGGGAGAUUACUACGUGAUAUCUGGAUUAAGAUCUGGUCAACAUUUUCUUUGCAGGUCAAUGAGAGCUUUCCAUUUCCCAUUGCCUUGUCAUGGAAAGGCUCUGCUCCAGAUGCACAGAAUGGACCCAUGGAUAACCAGCAGAUCACUGUUGUGUUCCCCAAGGGCAAUCCGAUACCAAGUAUGAAGGCUCUUACAUUCUACAGAUCUGGGACUUUCACAAUCGACGUUCAAUAUGCUGAUGUUAACGAAUUGCAGGCACCGGCUAAGAUUAGCACUUACACGGUAAUUUAUAUGCGCAUGCCUGUAAGAUCCAUUCAAUUUGUUUAGGGGGUAGCCUGGACAAUUUUUUUGGUAUCUACCUGACACAGCUUCU